GUUUUGGCGAUACUGUUUAUCACUUUCGCAUGACUUAGUACACAACGAGUUGGAUGUUUGGAUCGGUCUUGCCCAACUAACCAAUCGGUCCAACUGGUUUUCAGCUAACCAAUCGGCGCGCACUGAAAGUGAUACCUACUACACCGUCGAAGCGGCUCAGUGGCCUGCCUGAAGCAGCUGCUGUCACUUCAAGCUCAGCAUGGAUACUUUCAUCAAGUCUUUCGUGGUGUGUGCCUGCUUCAGUUUUCUCCUCAGUCUGGCACAUGCUUUUGAUGAUGAAUUUGAAAAGAAAUGGAAAAAACACAGGACUGCGUUGCCUCCUGCAACAAUCUUCAUAAUCUUUGUUGCGGUGACGGUUGCAGCGGGUUGUAUCAGCAUAUUGUGUGCCUGCCUUCGACGACAACACAGUCUGUAUAAUGCCAGUCCCCGCAUUCCACCUCCGCUGGCGCCGGCUGCCCCUGUUGUGACAUCGGGGGCAAGGAUGCACUCUCCCCUUGAAGCAUAUCCCCUAGUUUCGGGAGGAGCACCAUCACCUCCAGCCAUGUCAUAUCCCCAACAGACUUACCACCCCCAGCCAACUGCACCAUUCCCACAGGAAGGCCCCUGCAUGGGUGACUAUGCAGCACCACUGGUACAACCGUCUGCUGCACCGUUGCCAUCGCCAUAUGCACCAUUCGAUCCACCACCACCUUAUGUCAGUCCCCCUGCAGUGAAUUUCACAAAAUCGUAGAUAAGCUAGCACAGCCGUGAAUGGUGAUCGCACAUGUGUUGACUCGCUGCGGUGGCUGAGUGGCUGUGGCAUUCUCUCGCUGAGCAUGAGGUCGUGGGUUCGAGUCCUGGCCACAUUCUAAUGAGGGCGGAGUGAAAAAGCAGUUGUGUACUUAGACUUUUGCACAUGCAGGAGAACCCCAGGUGGUUGAAAUCAAUUCAGAGGUUGCUUCUGGUGUUUCAGAGCUUGUUACCGCAUAAACACGGGAAGAAUUAUGCCAAACACCACUCUAUUGCAUGGCCUGUUGCAUUUCCAUUUCCUCUAUAGACGCAGGAAAGAAUUCAACAAUGCCAGUGUUUGUGUAUAGAAUGUAGUGUAAAAAAGAGCACCAUGUAUGCAAAACCAUGACGGCUGAAUGGCUGGUUUGCUUGCACUCUGGUUUCUACCAGAGGUGGCAUUUUGCAGUGAAUGCACCGCAUAAGCGAUGUGUACCUCUUACUCAUCCCGACUAAAAUGGAGAAGUAAUGCAGCCAAUAGUGGCUCCCAGCGCAUCCACCACGGAGUGCCAACUACUAUAUAUGAGAAGUCGGAGUGUGACAAAGCCAAUGGUUAAGCUGCAAAAGUUAUGCAUACCUAUCACUUUGGCACUGUAAUGAAUGCUCCCUACACAGAGGUCUCUAGCUCAAGCGUGCACCAUCAACCUGCCACUGUCCUGUGCUUACACUGCAGCCUGCUCCAUGGGAGGCCAGCUUGCACAUGUGAAGCCUACUCUCAGCUCACCACCUCCUUCUUUUUUUUUUUCUUUGACUUGCACUCUAUUUUUGUACAGGAGUAAUCAAUAGAAUACACUUGACUCUUAUUUCAUCCGAAGUUCUAUUGUUCUUGUUUUUAUUGUUCAAAGGUAGAUAAUAGAGGAGGGCAGGCUGUGGGUUUUUUAACUGUCUCACCUGUCGACAUAUAGGCACUUACCUGAACAUAGAGGCACUUAUCUGAAUACACUCAAUUAAACAGAUGCCAAAGUAUCUUGCAUACAUGUUUAUUAUGCAAAUCUGCAUAACGUGUACAUAUACCGUAUAUAAAAGAUGUGCACGGAUGCACAUUGUGCAGUCUGGUGCCCAAUGUUGUGAUGUGCGCUGCCAGGGCCUGCACGCUUCUCCAGGAGUAGCGUCGCCAAAGUAGUGCAAGCUUUCUCACAAAUCCACGCUGCACCCUUGGAGAAGAGUAGCACUGUCUCGGUGUUGGAGGCAAGGCUCCGACUCCUGAAGUUGGACAGUAGCUGGUGGCAUGCAGUGGGGCACAUGCUCUGCAUUGAAAGAGCUGGUGCUUGAGAGUCUUGGGUGCAGUGCAGUUGGUGCCAGUGGUCGGCACCGACUGUUGUGCUUGCACACAGCUUGCAUAUUUAAAAAUUUUGGUGUGCAUUUUUACGGGUCCUUGUUACAGAUCUGUAGGUUCCCGAGAGUUCUGUGCCACGAGUGGUGAAGCCUUGCAUCCUCUUUGCACAAAAUUCUUACUGAUAUUAAUCAGAACUGAUUCUGCAUUGAAAGAGCCGGUGCUUGAGAGUUCGGGUGCAAGUGCAGUCGGUGCCAGUGGUCGGCACCGACUGUUGCGCUCGCACACAGCUUGCAUUUUUAAAAUUUUUGUGUGCGUUUUUACAGGUCCUUGUUACGGAUCUGUAGGUUCCUGAGAGUUCUGUGCCACGAGUGGUGAAGCCUUGUAUCCUCUUUGCACGAAAUUCUUACUGAUAUUAAUCAGAACUGAUUCUGCAUUGAAAGAGCCGGUGCUUGAGAGUCUCAUGUGCAAGUGCAGUCAGUGCCAGUGGUCGGCACCGACUGUUGUGCUUGCACACAGCUUGUAUUUAAAAAAUUUUUGUGUGCAUUUUUAUGGGUCCUUGUUACGGAUCAGUAGGUUCCCGAGAGUUCUGUGCCACGAGUGGUGAAGCCUUGCGUCCUCUUUGCAUUAAAUUCUUGCUGAUAUUAAUCAGAACUGGUGCUGUUGCACAAGAAGCAAAAGCUUGCUUAGUGCAAUGCACACAUUUCAAGGUUGAAUUUGCAGGCAAAGUGCAAUAAAAUGCUGGCAGUGUUAUAAUAUUGCGAAUUGUGAAGUUAGAAAGAAUUUUGCUAACUUUGUUUAGAAAUUGAAGGACGGUGAAUGUUUGUUACAACUUUUCGGUAGACCUAACUCUGUGCUCUUGUUACUUUAUUGCACAAUGGAAUCUCUUAAGUUUCCUAGGUGGCCAGUCUGGGGAUAGUUAGAAGAUAGUUAUUAUUUUGUUCACUUGCAAAAGAACAGUAUGGCAUUCACUCCGCUGUUUCUUGUAUUUACUUUAGUGCAGUCCUGUAUAAUAACCUAAUGUAGUAUAUAUAAUAUCUAAAUGUAUGGCGCAGAUUUUAAAGGUCAACUUUCUCCUUAUGUUUCUGAUCACUGCACCAUUUGCAUUUGCCACGCCGCAUAGCUAGGCAAACAAAAACGCCCCUGCUGCUAUGCAAUCAAAUACUUGUUUCUCUUGCGGUUGUGAUCAGGAGCGCUUCUCCGCUGGAGCUUCCUCCAUGUCAUGCUGUCAGAACUGCGACUUGUGAAAGUGAGCACCUCUCUGGUGAAAGCAGCUUCAGUAAAAUUUUAAAGUUGAUAGUCAUAUUUGUGUACUACAUCAUGCCUGAGAUUUCGCUUUUUAUUACCCAUUUCAUUCCUCUACUUCCAUUUAUAGUAGUAGUAGUAGUAGUAAUAAUAAUAAUAAUAUUAAUAAUAAUAAUAAUAAUGAUAAGAGCCUAUAUUGCCAAAAAAUAUAUAUGCAAAGGAAUAGCCAGCCUGCAUAAGCCAAAGCCUUGUGUGCAGGCUGGGCAGUCUCAUUGAUCUAUGUUCGAGCUACGAGCAAUAAAAUCUUCCUAAACAAAGCCUAAGGUAAAAGGACAAACUACAAGAUAGAAAGAAGACAUGUUCUCAGAGAAACAUUGCACAUUUAUAACAGUACACACAUAAUACUGGACAAAAUGAAUACGUUUAGUAGCCGAAUUUUCAUUUGUUACAAACGUUCUGUAUCUGUAACCCAUUUAACCUGUGAAAAUGUUUGGCCAUAGAUACCAGUAUCACUGGGUGGCUUUACAUUUUUCCACUGUUGAGCGCUAUGGAAUAGAAAACAGAAACAACACUACACAGGAUGAGUGAGUAAAGAGCACAGGACAAAGCGCUGACAAGCAACCAAAUGCUUUAUUUGCGGAAGCAGCAUAUAAAGACAUCAUUGAAGGUGACAUAAAGAAAAGAAAAAGAAGGAUAAGCAUUAGCCACGGAGAUAAUCCUGUUUGUUUGUUGAUAGUGUGAGGGAUGCAGAACUGACGCAUGCGUCGCCACUUGUGAAUACGCAAAAUGCCUCAAAGAUAUUCACAGAUAUUCGCAUAGUCACAGAUACUUGCAUAUUCACGAGUGGCAGCACAUGCAUCAGUUCUGCAUCUCUCAUGCUAUCAACAAAAGAACUGUAUUAUCUCCGUGGCUAACGCUUAUCCUUCUUUUUCUGUUAUUUAUGUCACCUUCAGUGAUGCCUUUAUAUGCUGCUUCUGCAAAUAAAGCAUUUGGUUGCUAGCCAGCGCUCUGUCAUGUGUUCUUUACUUGCUCAUCCUGUGUCGCACUGUUUUCGUUUUUUAUUGCAAAGAUGAACCAACCAGCCCCUUUGAACACACUGUUGAGCACUAUGUCUAUCUGUUGUUUAGUUUUUACACUACGAGUGAUAUGACUUUGUGCAGAACCAAGAGGCCACAAUGCAAAACCAGUUUUAACUGAUGUGUGCUAGUGAUUUUUGAGUUCUUGCGCAUUUACUCAUUGUCACUAUCUAGUCACCUUAUAAGACAAAGCACUAAUUUCAUAUUAGAAUAAGGGUAUCUGAGGGGCCCAAUAUUUUGUUUGUCACAGUCAUACUUCUGUGAAGUUUCAUUACAAUAUACUGUGCAAAUUAGUAAUUUAGGUAUAACAUAUAGCAUAUGCUGUACUGUCAUGCCAGUGAGUGAAUGAGUGCGAAAUGAAGGUUUUUUUUUUUAACUUUAAACAAUGCGAUUCAUCAUUCACAGUAAAAAAUGACUGUUUCUCAAUGAGUGUGGUUCUGUGAAACCGCUACUACUGCCAAAGUUUGUUCCCUACACAUCUUGUGUAUUGAAAGCAGUAUUUUUCUGGAAUCCUUUGGAUUUUUAUCUCUUACAAUGGCGAGAUGUGAUAAAUACAACAGUUAAGUGCUCUGAGGCAAAAGGAAUAAGUAGAAAGACACAACACACAAUUUUGCAUUCCUUAUUUGUCCUCAUUUUAAUGCUCUCUAUGUGGUACACUGAAUGACUACUGUGUUUAGAAGCACUAUAUUUUUUAAUAGCAUACAUUUCACUUUAUACAGAGAUGCAAAUGGCAGUAUAAGAGGAUUAGGGGUUACAUAUGAUUAAGCUUCAGGGUUGAAAGGACAGCUUUGCAUUUGUCACUUGAUAAACCAAGCUCUGAUAGCUGUCUAAUCUGCCCUGACUGUUGUGUGCUGACUGGAAGGCACCUUCCUUGUAAGAAUAAUUAAUCUCAGCACAAAGAAAUCCACCUUUCAAUGGAGGUUUUCAUUGCAAACAUUCCAAAAUAAUUCUGAAAGUCUUUGAGUGCUCCGAGUUUGCCAAAAUAAUGUGAUCCACUGGCAACAGCCACGACUCAGCUAGAUUGUGCUCUCGAACUUGAACUGAAUCUAAGCACAGCAACAUUGCAGUGAGAAUCGCAGGCAUUAUAUCAUCAGGGACCACAUUCUAAAUUGAUCGCUUUGACAUGCAUUACUUUUGGUAUUCAUUGAUUAGCUGAGCCAGCAAACGGUGCUCAUCACUAGAGUGCGGAAUCAUGCUGCUGCAUCAGACAAUGUUGAAAGUAACCCUGCAAGUGAAUGACUUCUACGCUGUCCCAUUACUGUUAUUACACAGUGACACAAAACCGUCUACCCCAUGUUGAUCAGCUAAAAAAAAAUUAAGUCCUUCCUUUAUAGUUUUGAGUUUGGUACACAGCAAGAACCACUUGCACCUUUUAUGCCUCCCGACUUGGAUAUAUUUGUCCAAACUAUUCUGUACUUUAUUUACACUGCCUAGUUAGCUAGCAUAUCAAUUGAUUGAAAGUCCUAUAUUGUUUAAGAGUUGGCAUAGAAGGCCACUGCGAGGGAAGGAGGAGGUGUCAGACUGCACAUCAUUCACCCUUCUUCAGGAUAGUGUCUUGGUCCAGCCUAUCCAUUAUAGUAUAAUUCACAUGUGCUUCCUGCCACAGUUAAUCAGUGGCCAUAGCAUUCUGCUGCUGGAUGCUGCUGCUGUUGCGGGUUCAAUCCAAGGCCACGGCAGACACAUUUAGAAGGAGGCAGAAUGCAAAAGUGCUCCUGUUGUGUUGCCUUGGGUGCACAUUAAAAAAAAAACAAAAAAACACUGUUGGUCAAAAUAAUUUGAUGCACUCCACUAUAGUGUUCAAUAGUCUGCGAGUCACCUGGGAUAUUAAACUGCAAAAUUUAAUUUAUUUUUAACAACGGGGCUUGUAAUGUUUAUGCAAGUUGUCAUUUGCUGCGUUUUCAGUUCCAGUGUCACUGGUGCAAAGAGUUACUGUGGCACUUAAGUUAAAUCCACCAUUUGUUACAAUGAGUCUCCUGCAGUUUUUACAUUGACUACCGUUUGCAUUAAAAAAGACCGUGUUUGUCACAUGCAGAUAGCUUUAGUGUGGAACUUUGUUCCCUGACCUUCUUGUUGAAGUGUUCGUCUACAACUUACAUAUGCAAGCUUUAAACUGACGUGCACACCUCGCUUCACACUGCCAAUGCAUGGUGUACAGACUGUGCCUUUUUGGCUCCUCAAGGACUGUUGUUUUAUGCUCUCCAUGUUCUGAAUGUGUUUGCAGAUCUUCUCCGUGUUCAUAUUUACGCCGUGAAUGUGUCUGCAGGUGUGAGGUCUCAUAGCAUUUGUUUGUUUGUAGGUGUGAAGUGUUUAAUUUGCUGCACCCGAGUGAACAUUUCUCGCCCUCGUUAUGCUUGGGCUUUCAGGAUAAAUGUGUAUACAUCAGUCUCUUACAGGUGCCUUCUUUUAUACUGUGAUAUGCUGAACAAUCACAUUAUGUCUGCUCUGUGUCACAAUCUGUGUUGACCUUUGCAAUGUAUUCCCAUCUUCACUUAGAAAAUUGCCAUUUAUACACGCACCAUUUUACUUCUUGCAUUGCAAGUGUGUAUGUUGCCCUGUGUACCGGCAUUUCAUUUCAGUUGUUCCUGAGGUAUGAAUAAAGAUAAUUUACCACUGUA
Molecule: RNA transcript, 6974 nt
Organism: Dermacentor albipictus
Lineage: Eukaryota; Metazoa; Arthropoda; Arachnida; Ixodida; Ixodidae
Gene name: nematocyst expressed protein 3-like
Source: RefSeq, a predicted model, not a curated record